AGGACGAACGCUGGCGGCGCGCCUAACACAUGCAAGUCGAGCGAUAACCAGGGCUUGCCCUGGGGACAGCGGCGAACGGGUGCGUAACACGUGAGCAACCUGCCCCAAAGACCGGGACAACCCGAGGAAACUCGGACUAAUACCGGAUGUCCUCACCGGAUCGCAUGAUCUGGUGAGGAAAUGGAUUCCGCUUUGGGAUGGGCUCGCGGUCUAUCAGCUUGUUGGUGGGGUAACGGCCUACCAAGGCGACGACGGAUAGCUGGUCUGAGAGGACGAUCAGCCACACUGGGACUGAGACACGGCCCAGACUCCUACGGGAGGCAGCAGUGGGGAAUCUUGCGCAAUGGGGGAAACCCUGACGCAGCGACGCCGCGUGCGGGAUGAAGGCCUUCGGGUUGUAAACCGCUUUCAGCAGGGACGAAAGUUGACGGUACUGCAGAAGAAGGCCGGCCAACUACGUGCCAGCAGCCGCGGUAA
This 477-nucleotide ribosomal RNA is filed under the name uncultured bacterium. RNAcentral's name for it is "SSU rRNA". It matches the Rfam family "Bacterial small subunit ribosomal RNA", at positions 26 to 523 of the family's 1533-position model. The record is from RNAcentral.